GCGCCAGGCGCUCCGGCCGCAAGGGAGCAGGGAGCCCUGCCAGCUGGGCCACCCGAGGGGCGUUGCGGGGCUCCGGGCGGGGUCGACCCGGGGGGCUCCGUCGGGCCCCACCAGCCUUGCGCCUUUUUCGCUCGGUCUCCUUGGCCUCCCGCUCCUGCGACGCCGCUUUCCUUUUCUCUUGCUCCCGAGCUCGGACCUCGGCCAGGGGCCCCGCCCGCCAGUUGGUCGCCUCCUGCAGCACCCUGGAGGCCCAGGGCCGGCGGGGCGGCGGCUGUGGGGAUCCCGGGCGCGGCCCACACCUGGGACAAUGAGCAGGAACCCAGGAUCUCACUGUGUCACUCAGACUGGAGUGCAGUGGCAUGAUCUCAGCUCACUCCAGCCUCCACCUCUUUGGAUCAAGCGAUCCUCCCACCUGAGCCUCCCGAGUAGCUGGGACUACAGGCACACACCACCACCACCACGCCUGGGUAAUUUUUGUAUUUUUGUUUCUGUCGAGACAGGCUUUCAUCAUGUUGCCCAGGCUGAUGCUGAACUCCUGAGCUCAAGCAAUCCACUUGCCUUGGCCUCCCAAAGUACUGGCAUUACAGGCGUGAGCCACCACACCUGGCUGAGUUUUCUUUUUCCUCUUUUUAACUUCUACCCCAGAGCCUAAUCCAGUACAUAAAGUGUAAAGGCUAAAUUAGAAAAUCUAUAUAAAAAUGCUUUGUAAACCAUAAUACAUUUACAAGUAAGUAGAAUAUGACAUGUCAUUUUAAAUUUAAUGGAAUUAGACUCCUUAUUUUUGUUUAAGAUUAUCCUGAUUAGUCAGAAUUGGCUCCCUUGCCUGGGAGACCAACUGCGAAUCAUUUUAGUACUUUGGUCGGUUUUCUUUUUGAAAACCUGAAAGAAACAACCUCUCUGUGAGCAGAGAAACGGUGUGGCAAAGAAUUACUCUGGGCAUGUAAUCCAAAGCAAAGUGAACCUGCAGUCCUUUCGUAACUACAGUAGCAGAUGAUAAAAACCAAGAUGGAAAGAGUUACUCUGCCUGAAAGAAGACACAUGGUUAAAAACUGUGGAGAGGGAAGUGUAUGGGAGGGGUUACAGAGCGCUAGAAAAAGACUCCUGAGAGUGAGGGUGGGUGCAAACAUGUAGCAGGCAACCCGCAGCAUCUGUGGGAGGGUGACAGGGCCCUGCCACAAUUGGUCAAUGCCUGCUCGCCAAGAAUGAGCUAUGCCAAAACCCCUGCUUAGAGUCGCAGAGCGGGCCAUGACCUAAAAUUGUCCAGGGACACAUCGGCCUCUAACACUGCAAGAUUUCCUCUUUCAAGCAAACCUCAAUUCUCGGUCUUAUUAAGGGAAUGUGACUUCACUGGACGCAGUAUAAAGAUCUUCAGAUGUCCUCCUGCCGGGGAUUGCAGGGAUCACAGAAAGACCAUCGAGGUCCAGGAGCUACCUGCAAGCGGAGAUCCCUCUGGACGCCCCGUGCCUCACCCAGCAAAGCCGGCUCACAACCCUGCGCUCUCAAACCUCUAAAAGGGCUUGAGGUGCCAAUAGGAAAGGAGGCCCGAGAUUGCCACGGCAUACGUGGGCCCCAAGGAGGGAGCCAGGAGUCACUGCCUGCUUGGGCUAAGGGUACCGCGUACGGAAAGGCGGCGGGGACGCGGCCCAGUUCCAGGAGAUGCGCCCAACGAAGAAGCGGAGGAACAGGGUCACGGGAUAGGGCAGACACCCGGCUGCUUUUUGUUUGCUAGACACCAGCGCCAGCCCCUGCCCGGCCCUCCCGGUCUCCUAAGGGUUGGGGGGGUGUCUUAGGCUCCACAGCGCCCCCGACCGCCCUCCUGCACUCCUCACCGUCUCCAUUGCAAGAGGCGCCCGGCUUGGUUUCCUCGCUUUAGGAAACUCUCUUGGGGCAGGCCCCGCCCCACAUCCGGUGCGGCGACGCCACUUCCGCCCACGUCAUGGCAGUCGCCAGACUGGGGCGGAAGGCAAGGAACCCACCCUUCCGGCGGUGGCGGGCCUCGGUAACCGCCCUCCCCCGGGUCCUCGCGGACCGCACGGAUCCGGCUGACGGCGAGGGUCAUGGGACGGAGCCGC
This 2072-nucleotide long non-coding RNA is filed under the name Homo sapiens (human). Its description in RNAcentral is "HSALNT0368012". The record is from RNAcentral. Lineage: Eukaryota; Metazoa; Chordata; Mammalia; Primates; Hominidae.